AUUAAAAUUCUCUAUCAAAAUCAAAUAUCGUUGUAACUUUAGUUACAAAAAUGUCCGCGUGAGGACGUUGUGGCGGUUUAUUACUAAGCAAGUUUUCGCAUGACACGUCCUUGAAUAGUGUUACGUGUCACAUUGAAACGAGCGGUAGUGUUUGUCGUCCGCGUAAAAACCGUUGUAACUUGAAAUAAGACACUAAUACAGAAAAGGCUUGAAUAAUGAGGAGAGUCGACAGAAUAUUGGAUUUGGCAAAAGCAAUAAAGGACGAAGAAUCCGAUAAUAUACGAGAGAAAGAGAAUAUUGAGCCUACCGUUUCGCCUUCAAUAAUACAUUCUACUCAUGGCGCUAAUCCUAUACAUGUAUUGUGUAAUUAAAUUUGAUAAUUUAAAUUCCAUUACGCACAAAUUUCUCAUUACCGGUCAUACACAAAAUGAAGGGGAUGCCGUACAUUCGGUUAUUGAAAAGAGUAUCAAAAGGCAUCUCAAAUCCGGGCCUAUUUACGAACCUUCACAGUAUAUACAGAUUAUGAAAGGUGCUAAAAAAUCUGGUGAGAAAUAUAACGUCAACGAAUUGUCUUACCAUGAUUUUAUAUCUUUGAAAAAGUUGGCAAUCGACUUGAAAAUGAAAACAAUAACAAAAAUUUCUGAAAUGAAAGUUAUUAAAAUUGAGGCUGAAUCCCCGGAUAUUUUGUACUACAAAAAUUCUUUUGCUGAUGAAGAUUUUUCUACAUUAAAACUAUUAAAAACCAUUCCUAUAUUACCUCCUUUGAAGCCUGCUUAUUUGGGACCAAUUUUAUUUAAGUGAAAAUAAAAAGUCUGAUUUAAAAAGUCUGUUAAAGUCUAAUCAUAUACCUAAGUUCUAUGAAGGAUUUUAUAAAAGUCUUUUCCAAGAUAAUGAUUAAGUGUUGUUUACUAAGUAUGUUCUGUAGGCUGUGAUUAUUUUACUAAGAUUACUAGCAAGGGUAUUAUUGAUAAGAGGAUUAUUGAUUAUGUCAUUAAGUACAAAAAUUUUAUUAGUUUCAUAGAAGAGCGAAGUAAUACCUAGUAAUAAGGUAUUUUUUUCGAAGAUUUUUAAAGAUUUUUAAGUUUUUUUUUUGUGUUCUCAUAAUUGUAGGUUGUGUUUUUUGUUACUACGAGUAUUAUUACUGUACGGGUAUUGAUUAUGUGCCAUAUUUUAUUAACGUACCAAAUUGUCUCUCAUUAGAUUAAAGUGUAGUUUACGGAGCUUGAGAUAGAGAAACUAUCUAAAGUAACGAUUUAUUAAUAAUGUAAGUAUAAUAAAUAAUAAUUUUGUUAUAUUCAUUAUUGUUUGCUAAACUAUUUCAUUAAACUGAUUAAAAAAUAUAUAU
Long non-coding RNA from Amyelois transitella, 1345 nucleotides. RefSeq lists it as uncharacterized. The record is from RefSeq and is a predicted model, not a curated record. NCBI's taxonomy places the organism in Eukaryota, Metazoa, Arthropoda, Insecta, Lepidoptera, Pyralidae. The transcript has 4 exons.